This 380-nucleotide ribosomal RNA is filed under the name uncultured bacterium. RNAcentral's name for it is "bacterial SSU rRNA". It matches the Rfam family "Bacterial small subunit ribosomal RNA", at positions 28 to 409 of the family's 1533-position model. The record is from RNAcentral.
AUUGAACGCUGGCGGCAUGCUUUACACAUGCAAGUCGAGCGGCAGCGCGGGGGCAACCCUGGCGGCGAGCGGCGAACGGGUGAGUAAUGCAUCGGAACGUACCCUGGAGUGGGGGAUAACGCCGCGAAAGCGGCGCUAAUACCGCAUAUGCUCUGAGGAGGAAAGUGGGGGACCGCAAGGCCUCACGCUCUGGGAGCGGCCGAUGUCCCGAUUAGCUAGUUGGUGGGGUAAAGGCUUACCAAGGCGACGAUCGGUAGCUGGUCUGAGAGGAUGAUCAGCCACACUGGGACUGAGACACGGCCCAGACUCCUACGGAGGCAGCAGUGGGGAAUUUUGGGACAAUGGGGGCAACCCUGAUCCAGCCAUGCCGCGUGAGUGAA